RNAcentral lists this ribosomal RNA (330 nucleotides) under uncultured bacterium. Its description in RNAcentral is "bacterial SSU rRNA". It matches the Rfam family "Bacterial small subunit ribosomal RNA", at positions 568 to 898 of the family's 1533-position model. The record is from RNAcentral.
CGCGUAGGCUGUGCUGUAAGUCAGGCGUGAAAGGCCCGGGUUCAACCUGGGAACUGCGCAUGAUACUGCGGCGCUUGAAGGCGGGAGAGGAUGGCGGAAUUCCCAGUGUAGAGGUGAAAUUCGUAGAUAUUGGGAAGAACACCGGUGGCGAAGGCGGCCAUCUGGCCCGUGAUUGACGUUGAGGCGCGAAAGCGUGGGGAGCAAACAGGAUUAGAUACCCUGGUAGUCCACGCCGUAAACGAUGAGUGCUAGACGUCGGGGAGCUUGCUCUUCGGUGUCGCCGCUAACGCAUUAAGCACUCCGCCUGGGGAGUACGGUCGCAAGAUUAAA